This 790-nucleotide ribosomal RNA is filed under the name uncultured Methanolobus sp. RNAcentral's name for it is "bacterial SSU rRNA". It matches the Rfam family "Archaeal small subunit ribosomal RNA", at positions 85 to 876 of the family's 1478-position model. Lineage: Archaea; Methanobacteriati; Methanobacteriota; Methanomicrobia; Methanosarcinales; Methanosarcinaceae. The record is from RNAcentral.
ACGGCUCAGUAACACGUGGAUAAUCUGCCCUAAGGUCAGGCAUAACACCGGGAAACUGGUGAUAAUUCCUGAUAUACCAUAGAUACUGGAAUGUUCUGUGGUCAAAAGCUCCGGCGCCUUAGGAUGAAUCUGCGGCCUAUCAGGUCGUAGUGGGUGUAACGUACCUACUAGCCGACGACGGGUACGGGUUGUGAGAGCAAGAGCCCGGAGAUGGAUUCUGAGACAUGAAUCCAGGCCCUACGGGGCGCAGCAGGCGCGAAAACUUUACAAUGCGGGAAACCGCGAUAAGGGGACACUGAGUGCCAGCAUACAAUGUUGGCUGUCCGCAUGUAUAAAUAGCAUGUGUUAGCAAGGGCCGGGCAAGACCGGUGCCAGCCGCCGCGGUAACACCGGCGGCCCGAGUGGUGGCCACUAUUAUUGGGUCUAAAGGGUCCGUAGCCGGUUUGAUCAGUCUUCCGGGAAAUCUGACAGCUCAACUGUUAGGCUUCCGGGGGAUACUGUCAGACUUGGGACCGGGAGAGGUAAGAGGUACUACAGGGGUAGGAGUGAAAUCUUGUAAUCCUUGUGGGACCACCAGUGGCGAAGGCGUCUUACCAGAACGGGUCCGACGGUGAGGGACGAAAGCUGGGGGCACGAACCGGAUUAGAUACCCGGGUAGUCCCAGCCGUAAACGAUGCUCGCUAGGUGUCUGGGAUGGUGCGACCGUUUCAGGUGCCGCAGGGAAGCCGUGAAGCGAGCCACCUGGGAAGUGCGGCCGCAAGGCUGAAACUUAAAGGAAUUGGCGGGGGAG